AUGGAGUCCUGGUCCAUGACUUGGGUUUCCAUGUGUAACUGCAGUAAUUGUCUUCUCCGUGCUGUCCUAUCAAUGGGCCUGCCCUUGCCUGCAGGAACCAGUGCUGCAGGUGAGGGGGGAGUGGAGUCUCUGCAUACAUUUAAUCAGGGGCCCUUAUUCAUUAUGACACUAGGGAAACUGGCAGGGUCGUUAAGUGAAGGAGAAACUGGGAAGGAAUCAUGCUUUAUGUCCAGCGAGCUCUGCUUUUCUGUUGGCUGCCCAGAUCUUCAAGUCUUUUUAGAUUAUAAGUUCUUUGGAGCAAGGGCUGUGUGCACACGCGCACACACACACACACAAACAUUGCCUAGAACUGUGGGGUUCCAGUCAGGAAUGCAAAUAAUAAAACUAUGAACUGGACUAUCUGAGCUUAUUUCCAAGGGCUCAUCAGUCUAUCAGAUGUACUUUUUUUUUUUUUUUUCCCUUACAACUACUACUAACCUGGGCUAGAUUUAAAGCAAUGAUGUAGAGAUGAGAUGAGCGCCUAGUCAGGAAGCCAUCCAGUCCUUUUUAUGACACACUUGCCUUCUAGGGCUCGGGCUUUUGGGCAGAAAAGAGUGAUGACUAAGUUCACUUAAAGAUGAAUCACACAGGUUUUAUUUUUGUUUUUUAAAUUGGGUUUGUAUUGCCUCUUGGUCUUCUUGCUUCUAUAUAUUAUACAGGAAAGGCCUGACAGGUGGGCUGGGAGGGCAGUUGGAGUGGCUUGUUUUUAAAUUAUUGCUGGGGGGGUUUUGUGUGGUUUUCUAGGUGUAUAUGGGGAAGCUGUAGCAGCAUAACCAAUAUGUGAAUUUAAACCAGUGCAAACUCCUCUGUGGCCAUGCUUAUUUUGGUGUACGAGUGGCUCCUUUUGAUUUUUAGCAAAAGUCUGUUGGGAACGGAGUUAAGUUUAAAGUGCAAUAAGCCACUCUCAAACCAAACUAAGUGAACAUGUAGAGGUUUGCAUUGGCUUAACUACACCGGUUAAAAAUGUUUAAACUGGUGCAACUUUCCCCUGUAGACUAGCCCUUAAAUAUCAGGAAUAUCUCAUCUGGUUCCCCUGGUUUUGAGGAAAAACAUCUUGGAUGGAUAUUGUGAGCUCCCUACCUCUUUCAUGACCAGGAAUAGGGUUGUUCAAUCUUUAACAUUUGAUCAACACUUUGGAGAAAACGUAAGAGUUAAACAGGCUUAAAUAAAAAAGCGAACUCCAAUCA
Molecule: long non-coding RNA, 1226 nt
Filed under: Chrysemys picta bellii (western painted turtle)
Lineage: Eukaryota; Metazoa; Chordata; Testudines; Emydidae
Description: lncRNA (ENSCPBG00000014341.1)
Source: RNAcentral